GAGGAAAGUCCGGGCUCCACAGGGCAGGGCGGUGGGUAACACCCACCCGGGGCGACCCGCGGGACAGUGCCACAGAGAACAGACCGCCGGCGCCGGUCACGGCCGCCGGUAAGGGUGAAACGGUGCGGUAAGAGCGCACCAGCGCCCAGGGUGACCUGGGCGGCUCGGUAAACCCCGCCCGGAGCAAGGUCAGAAGGCCCGCGGCCCGCAAGGGCCACGGGCCGCGCAGGCGUUCGAGGGCGGCCCGCCCGAGCCUGCGGGUAGGCCGCUGGAGGCUGCCGGCAACGGCAGCCGUAGAGAGAUGGCCGCCACCGGGGCGCCGCAAGGCUCCCCGCCUACAGAACCCGGCUUA
RNAcentral lists this RNase P RNA (352 nucleotides) under Frankia canadensis. RNAcentral describes it as "RNaseP_bact_a". It matches the Rfam family "Bacterial RNase P class A", at positions 43 to 351 of the family's 367-position model. Rfam says of the family: Ribonuclease P (RNase P) is a ubiquitous endoribonuclease, found in archaea, bacteria and eukarya as well as chloroplasts and mitochondria. Its best characterised activity is the generation of mature 5'-ends of tRNAs by cleaving the 5'-leader elements of precursor-tRNAs. Cellular RNase Ps are ribonucleoproteins. The record is from RNAcentral. Lineage: Bacteria; Bacillati; Actinomycetota; Actinomycetes; Frankiales; Frankiaceae.